UACAGAGGGUGCGAGCGUUGUUCGGAAUUAUUGGGCGUAAAGCGCUGGUAGGUGGCUUGUUAAGUCGCGUGUGAAAGCUCCAGGCUCAACCUGGAAAGUGCGCGCGAAACUGGCGAGCUUGAGUGCCGGAGAGGGUCGCGGAAUUCCCAGUGUAGAGGUGAAAUUCGUAGAUAUUGGGAGGAACACCAGAGGCGAAGGCGGCGACCUGGAAGGUAACUGACACUGAGCAGCGAAAGCGUGGGGGGCAAACAGG
This 253-nucleotide ribosomal RNA is filed under the name uncultured bacterium. RNAcentral describes it as "partial 16S ribosomal RNA". It matches the Rfam family "Bacterial small subunit ribosomal RNA", at positions 524 to 776 of the family's 1533-position model. The record is from RNAcentral.